GACAGAGGGUGCAAACGUUGUUCGGAAUUACUGGGCGUAAAGCGCGUGUAGGCGGCCAUCUAAGUCGGGCGUGAAAUCCCACGGCUCAACCGUGGAAGUGCACUCGAAACUGGCAGGCUAGAGUACUAAAGAGGAUCGCGGAAUUCCCGGUGUAGAGGUGAAAUUCGUAGAUAUCGGGAGGAACACCGGUGGCGAAGGCGGCGAUCUGGGUAGAUACUGACGCUGAGGUGCGAAAGCGUGGGGAGCAAACAGG
This 253-nucleotide ribosomal RNA is filed under the name uncultured bacterium. RNAcentral's name for it is "partial 16S ribosomal RNA". It matches the Rfam family "Bacterial small subunit ribosomal RNA", at positions 524 to 776 of the family's 1533-position model. The record is from RNAcentral.